UCCCAUAUUGUCUAGUGGUUAGGAUACCUGACUCUCACCCAGGAGGCCCGGGUUCAAUUCCCGGUAUGGGAA
RNAcentral lists this transfer RNA (72 nucleotides) under Daphnia pulicaria. RNAcentral's name for it is "tRNA-Glu". It matches the Rfam family "tRNA". Rfam says of the family: Transfer RNA (tRNA) molecules are approximately 80 nucleotides in length. Their secondary structure includes four short double-helical elements and three loops (D, anti-codon, and T loops). The record is from RNAcentral. Lineage: Eukaryota; Metazoa; Arthropoda; Branchiopoda; Diplostraca; Daphniidae.